RNAcentral lists this ribosomal RNA (264 nucleotides) under uncultured bacterium. Its description in RNAcentral is "partial 16S ribosomal RNA". It matches the Rfam family "Bacterial small subunit ribosomal RNA", at positions 337 to 618 of the family's 1533-position model. The record is from RNAcentral.
UCCUACGGGGCGCAGCAGUGGGGGAUAUUGCACAAUGGGGGGAACCCUGAUGCAGCGACGCCGCGUGGGUGAAGAAGCGCCUCGGCGCGUAAAGCCCUGUCAGCAGGGAAGAAAAUGACGGUACCUGAAGAAGAAGCCCCGGCUAACUACGUGCCAGCAGCCGCGGUAAUACGUAGGGGGCAAGCGUUAUCCGGAAUUACUGGGGGUAAAGGGAGCGUAGACGGCUGUGCAAGUCUGGAGUGAAAGGCGGGGGCCCAACCCCCG